RNAcentral lists this ribosomal RNA (372 nucleotides) under uncultured bacterium. RNAcentral describes it as "bacterial SSU rRNA". It matches the Rfam family "Bacterial small subunit ribosomal RNA", at positions 29 to 424 of the family's 1533-position model. The record is from RNAcentral.
AACGAACGCUGGCGGCAGGCCUAACACAUGCAAGUCGAGCGAACCCUUCGGGGUUAGCGGCGGACGGGUUAGUAACGCGUGGGAAUAUACCCUUUGGUACGGAAUAGCCUCGGGAAACUGAGAGUAAUACCGUAUGUGCCCUUCGGGGUAAGGAUUAUCGCCAAAGGAUUAGCCCGCGUUGGAUUAGAUAGUUGGUGGGGUAAGUGGCCUACCAAGUCUACGAUCCAUAGCUGGUUUGAGAGGAUGAUCAGCAACACUGGGACGUGAGACACGGCCCAGACUCCUACGGGAGGGCAGCAGUGGGGGAAUCUUAGACAAUGGGCGGCAAGCCUGAUCUAGCCAUGCCGCGUGGACGAUGAAGGCCUUAGGGUU